Molecule: ribosomal RNA, 406 nt
Filed under: uncultured bacterium
Lineage: Bacteria
Description: partial 16S ribosomal RNA
Rfam family: Bacterial small subunit ribosomal RNA
Source: RNAcentral
AUUGAACGCUGGCGGCAGGCCUAACACAUGCAAGUCGAGCGAGCGGCGGACGGGUGAGUAAUGUCUGGGAAACUGCCUGAUGGCGGGGGAUAACUACUGGAAACGGUAGCUAAUACCGCAUACCAUCAGAUGUGCCCAAAUGGGAUUAGCUAGUUGGUGGGGUAACGGCUCACCUAGGCGACGAUCCCUAGCUGGUCUGAGAGGAUGACCAGCCACACUGGGACUGAGACACGGUCCAGACGCCUAAGGGAGGCAGCAGUGGGGAAUAUUGCACAAUGGGCGCAAGCCUGAUGCAGCCAUGCCGCGUGUAUGAAGAAGGCCUUCGGGUUGUAAAGUACUUUCAGUCGGGAGGCGUUACCGACAGAAGAAGCACCGGCUAACUCCGUGCCAGCAGCCGCGGUAAUUC